Molecule: ribosomal RNA, 468 nt
Filed under: Shigella flexneri
Lineage: Bacteria; Pseudomonadati; Pseudomonadota; Gammaproteobacteria; Enterobacterales; Enterobacteriaceae
Description: bacterial SSU rRNA
Rfam family: Bacterial small subunit ribosomal RNA
Source: RNAcentral
AAAUUGAAGAGUUUGAUCAUGGCUCAGAUUGAACGCUGGCGGCAGGCCUAACACAUGCAAGUCGAACGGUAACAGGAAACAGCUUGCUGUUUCGCUGACGAGUGGCGGACGGGUGAGUAAUGUCUGGGAAACUGCCCGAUGGAGGGGGAUAACUACUGGAAACGGUAGCUAAUACCGCAUAACGUCGCAAGACCAAAGAGGGGGACCUUCGGGCCUCUUGCUAUCGGAUGUGCCCAGAUGGGAUUAGCUAGUAGGUGGGGUAACGGCUCACCUAGGCGACGAUCCCUAGCUGGUCUGAGAGGAUGACCAGCCACACUGGAACUGAGACACGGUCCAGACUCCUACGGGAGGCAGCAGUGGGGAAUAUUGCACAAUGGGCGCAAGCCUGAUGCAGCCAUGCCGCGUGUAUGAAGAAGGCCUUCGGGUUGUAAAGUACUUUCAGCGGGGAGGAAGGGAGUAAAGUUAAUA